Rhamnusium bicolor is the source of this 75-nucleotide non-coding RNA. Lineage: Eukaryota; Metazoa; Arthropoda; Insecta; Coleoptera; Cerambycidae. The record is from the annotation of a GenBank genome assembly.
GGCAUCAUGGCCCAACGGUAAGGACACUUGCCUUUCAUCCUGGAGACCCGGGUUCGAUCACCGGUCGAGCAGCUA